UACGUAGGGGGCUAGCGUUGUCCGGAAUCAUUGGGCGUAAAGCGCGCGUAGGCGGCCCGGUAAGUCCGCUCUGAAAGUCCAGGGCUCAACCCUGGAAAGCGGGUGGAUACUGCCGGGCUAGAAUCCGGAAGAGGCGAGUGGAAUUCCUGGUGUAGCGGUGGAAUGCGCAGAUAUCAGGAGGAACACCGGUGGCGAAGGCGGGUCUCUGGGCCGAUACUGACGCUGAGGAGCGAAAGCAUGGGGAGCGAACAGG
RNAcentral lists this ribosomal RNA (253 nucleotides) under uncultured bacterium. Its description in RNAcentral is "partial 16S ribosomal RNA". It matches the Rfam family "Bacterial small subunit ribosomal RNA", at positions 524 to 776 of the family's 1533-position model. The record is from RNAcentral.